CUUGUUCUGUCUGUUGGCCCUGGUUGGCCAUGGUGUCAUAUCUUGUGUCACAGUAUACUAGUAGUCUUUACAAGUUCGUUAAGUGCUUUCGCAGUUUUUCCUGUUAUUACCUUAGUGCUAGGAUUAUCAUUUUCAUAGGUGGUGUUUCUUCUCACUCCAUUUCUCUUUAUUAGUAUCUUUCUGGAUUGUUUUUCAUUAGUACAACGUAGCUUCCUGAGGAGUGUUGUGCGAAAACUAGUUCGAAGUACGAUUUUUUGUUCAUCAUUUUCUCCAUAUCACAUUUUUUUCUUUCUUCCAUGUUCUUCACUGCCUUCGUAUCCACUCGUUUUUUGAAUACAAUAAAAGCCUUUGUGAAAUGUC
Long non-coding RNA from Sycon ciliatum, 360 nucleotides. RefSeq lists it as uncharacterized. The transcript has 2 exons. The record is from RefSeq and is a predicted model, not a curated record. NCBI's taxonomy places the organism in Eukaryota, Metazoa, Porifera, Calcarea, Leucosolenida, Sycettidae.